GGGUCAGUAGGUUGGUCGUGCCACCGGUACGUACUGGUCUCACUGAUUCCUCCUUCCUGAAGAACCGUAAUGCCAUUAAUUUGGUGUUGCGGGGAAACAGGACUGUUACUUUGAAAAAAUUAUAGUGUUUAAAGCAAGCUAACGCUUGAAUACAUUAGCAUGGAAUAAUGAAAUAGGACGAUCGAUCCUAUUUUGUUGGUUUCUAGGAUUGACGUA
This 216-nucleotide ribosomal RNA is filed under the name Glomeromycotina sp. Its description in RNAcentral is "partial small subunit ribosomal RNA". The stretch from base 40 to 216 matches the Rfam family "Eukaryotic small subunit ribosomal RNA", at positions 686 to 864 of the family's 1831-position model. Lineage: Eukaryota; Fungi; Glomeromycota. The record is from RNAcentral.